RNAcentral lists this microRNA (23 nucleotides) under Canis lupus familiaris (dog). Its description in RNAcentral is "Cfa-Mir-506-P2b_3p (mature (guide))". Lineage: Eukaryota; Metazoa; Chordata; Mammalia; Carnivora; Canidae. The record is from RNAcentral.
UGAUUGGCACCUCUUUGAGUGUA